This 511-nucleotide ribosomal RNA is filed under the name uncultured bacterium. Its description in RNAcentral is "bacterial SSU rRNA". It matches the Rfam family "Bacterial small subunit ribosomal RNA", at positions 1018 to 1529 of the family's 1533-position model. The record is from RNAcentral.
CUUCGGGGACAGGAAGACAGGUGGUGCAUGGUUGUCGUCAGCUCGUGUCGUGAGAUGUUGGGUUAAGUCCCGCAACGAGCGCAACCCUUAUUGUUAGUUGCUACCAUUUAGUUGAGCACUCUAGCGAGACUGCCCGGGUUAACCGGGAGGAAGGUGGGGAUGACGUCAAAUCAUCAUGCCCCUUAUGUCUAGGGCUACACACGUGCUACAAUGGCCGGUACAACGAGAUGCAAUACCGUGAGGUGGAGCAAAACUAUAAAACCGGUCUCAGUUCGGAUUGUAGGCUGAAACUCGCCUACAUGAAGCUGGAGUUACUAGUAAUCGCGAAUCAGCAUGUCGCGGUGAAUACGUUCCCGGGCCUUGUACACACCGCCCGUCACACCAUGAGAGUUGGCAAUACCCAAAGUUGGUGAUCUAACCCGUAAGGGAGGAAGCCACCUAAGGUAGGGUCAGCGAUUGGGGUGAAGUCGUAACAAGGUAGCCGUAGGAGAACCUGCGGCUGGAUCACCUC